Long non-coding RNA from Eriocheir sinensis (Chinese mitten crab), 646 nucleotides. RefSeq lists it as uncharacterized. Lineage: Eukaryota; Metazoa; Arthropoda; Malacostraca; Decapoda; Varunidae. The transcript has 6 exons. The record is from RefSeq and is a predicted model, not a curated record.
CCACGGCUAACGAGCUCCACCUGCCCGGGUUUGUUUAGAGUUUGCUCUCCUAGGUGAACUGCCUACCACGGCUAACGAGCUCCACCUGCCCGGGUUUGUUGUUCGGAGUUUGCUCUCCUAGGUGAACUGCCUACCACGGCUAACGAGCUCCACCUGCCCGGGUUUGUUGUUCGGAGUUUGCUCUCCUAGGUGAACUGCCUACCACGGCUAACGACCUCCACCUGCCCGGGUUUGUUGUUCGGAGUUUGCUCUCCUAGGUGAACUGCCUACCACGGCUAACGAGCCUCACCUGCCCGGGUUUGUUGUUCGGAGUUUGCUCUCCUAGGUGAACUGCCUACCACGGCUAACGAGCCUCACCUGCCCGGGUUUGUUGUUCGGAGUUUGCUCUCCUAGGUGAACUGCCUACCACGGCUAACGAGCCUCACCUGCCCGGGUUUGUUUAGAGUUUGCUCUCCUAGGUGAACUGCCUACCACGGCUAACGACCUCCACCUGCCCGGGUAUGUUGUUCGGAGUUUGCUCUCCUAGGUGAAUUGCCUACCACGGCUAACGAGCCUCACCUGCCCGGGUUUGUUGUUCGGAGUUUGCUCUCCUAGGUGGAUUGCCUACCACGGCUAACGAGCCUCACCUGCCCGGGUUUGUUGUUCG